Non-coding RNA from Podarcis lilfordi (Lilford's wall lizard), 74 nucleotides. Lineage: Eukaryota; Metazoa; Chordata; Lepidosauria; Squamata; Lacertidae. The record is from the annotation of a GenBank genome assembly.
GCUUGGGAUAGCUCAGUUGGUACAGCAUGAGACUCUUAAUAUCUGGGUCGUGGGUUCGAGCCCCACGGUGGGCG